UACGUAGGGUGCAAGCGUUAAUCGGAACUACUGGGCGUAAAGCGUGCGCAGGCGGUUUUGUAAGUCUGACGUGAAAGCCCCGGGCUCAACCUGGGAAUUGCGUUGGAGACUGCAAGGCUAGAAUCUGGCAGAGGGGGGUAGAAUUCCACGUGUAGCAGUGAAAUGCGUAGAGAUGUGGAAGAACACCGAUGGCGAAGGCAGCUCCCUGGGUCAAGAUUGACGCUCAUGCACGAAAGCGUGGGGAGCAAACAGG
RNAcentral lists this ribosomal RNA (253 nucleotides) under uncultured bacterium. RNAcentral describes it as "partial 16S ribosomal RNA". It matches the Rfam family "Bacterial small subunit ribosomal RNA", at positions 524 to 776 of the family's 1533-position model. The record is from RNAcentral.